Picea glauca (white spruce) is the source of this 46-nucleotide non-coding RNA. The record is from Rfam. NCBI's taxonomy places the organism in Eukaryota, Viridiplantae, Streptophyta, Pinopsida, Pinales, Pinaceae.
GCAAUGGUGUCUUUAGACACCACUACUACUUCCAAAUCCUCUUUUU